UACGUAGGGGGCAAGCGUUGUCCGGAUUUAUUGGGCGUAAAGAGCGUGUAGGCGGCCAUACAGGUCAGCUGUGAAAACUCGAGGCUCAACCUCGAGACGUCGGUUGAAACCGUAUGGCUAGAGUCCGGAAGAGGAGAGUGGAAUUCCCGGUGUAGCGGUGAAAUGCGCAGAUAUCGGGAAGAACACCCGUGGCGAAGGCGGCUCUCUGGGACGGUACUGACGCGUGAGA
RNAcentral lists this ribosomal RNA (229 nucleotides) under uncultured bacterium. RNAcentral's name for it is "partial 16S ribosomal RNA". It matches the Rfam family "Bacterial small subunit ribosomal RNA", at positions 524 to 751 of the family's 1533-position model. The record is from RNAcentral.